GAGCUUUGGAAAAGUGGAAAAGAAAUAUGCCUUUUUUUCGCUGUAUUUCAGAAUGCUGAAAGAAUGAAAUGGACGCAUGUCAGCCCAAAGACAUAAAGCAGAAAGAAACCACUUCAUGUUCAGAAGCAUGUCCUAGAAGACAACUGCUAAAGACAAGGGAGUAGUAAAGAAAAGAAAAAAAAAAAAAAAAAAGAAGGAAAAAAAAGUCUUCAAAGCAAAUGAAAAGAAACAGACAGUUCUUCAAAACAAGAGAGGAAAUUGGAAAAAGAACAUUUGUGGAAGAAAAAAAGCAUGUGGAAUUUCUCUAAACAGAAGAUGGAAUGAUCCAUUUUACCUGAAGAGAGUGGAAGGAUCAAGGAAAGUGGCACAAUGGACUUCAGUGACCACUAACCAACAUGGAUUACAGCGUGAGCAUGUGGUACAGAAACCACAAGUUGUCAAACCUGCAAAUCAUAAUUUGGUCAGUAAGAAUCUAGGAUCCUGAAGAAGACAUGAAGAGAAAUGACUCUUUAAAAUUGAAGUAGGAGCAAUCAUUACCUCUAUCAUUUUGAACCAAAAAGGUCUUACUCUAUGUAAUGUUAGUGCAAAAGAUGAAAAUCGGUGAGUUCAACAAUAUUUUUAUUGGAAUAAAUUUUCUUGUGGAAUGUCAAUUUAUUUUUGAGUAUGCAAUCUUGCCAAAUCGAAAACUCUCAUAUAUAGUUCUUUUAAACUUGAUCUCUUGGCAUGUCAAGCAUUCUCAUAU
RNAcentral lists this long non-coding RNA (742 nucleotides) under Cercocebus atys (sooty mangabey). Its description in RNAcentral is "lncRNA (ENSCATG00000045548.1)". The record is from RNAcentral. Lineage: Eukaryota; Metazoa; Chordata; Mammalia; Primates; Cercopithecidae.